RNAcentral lists this long non-coding RNA (581 nucleotides) under Pongo abelii (Sumatran orangutan). Its description in RNAcentral is "lincRNA". Lineage: Eukaryota; Metazoa; Chordata; Mammalia; Primates; Hominidae. The record is from RNAcentral.
GUGCGGCGGGGGCGGCGGAGUGCUCCCUCCAAGACCGGUUGCACCCCGCUUUCCUGGCCAGGACUCUGGCGCGCUAAGGAGGCGCGGGUCCACAGAGCCAGGGGAAAGGGUCACUGUGGAUCAAGCCAGGCUCCUCUGAGCAGUCCAGGGUCUAUUUACAGAGAGCAGCAAGUUCCUGGGACAGAGGAGAGAGAAGGGAAUUUCCAGGUUCUUCAGGACGUUCACAACCACACUGAGAAGCAUCUUUGCAGAUAAGUAUUUAAACUUACCAGCCCAUAGCCUACCAGCCUGCCCUCUUCUGGUCUGUGCAGGAAAGUGUAGUAUCCUAGAAUACCAAAGUGGGAGGGGAAACGGGUGAUGUAGCUCAUUCUCUUUUCUACCUCUAUGGAAGAAAGAAAGAGCCUGUCCCCAUUUUGUGGGGUCCCAGAAAGGGUGAUUUUUCACACUCCACAUUUGGCAUUAGGGCUAGUAUUUUAUAAACGUCACUGUAUGGAACUUUUGAAGGCUGAGUUAAAUGACUUCAUCUUGUGUACUUGUAGAACUGCUAUUAGAAGGAGGCUGGGGACUCCCUGAUGAUGUGA